This 1202-nucleotide long non-coding RNA is filed under the name Marmota monax (woodchuck). Lineage: Eukaryota; Metazoa; Chordata; Mammalia; Rodentia; Sciuridae. The record is from RNAcentral.
CUUACUCUGAUUUAUUUCCUUCCUAUCAAUUGUCACCUACCUGAUAUUAUAUUAGACAUUCGCUUGUUUGUCUCUGAAGCCCCUUGAACUAGAAGAGUGUGUGAUACAUAGUAAGUGCUUAGAAUUUUUGAAAUGAGUGACUGAAUUCCUUGAAUGGUCUCCCCAGUGAGGGCGCCUGAGAAGCAAGAAGAGCCAGCCUCCCCUACUGCAGGCACUUGAACCUGGGCUCGUAUGGGGAGUUGCUUGUGCGCCAGGAUCCCUGACCUCUGCAGCUGUGCUUGUUAAUCCCCCAGAGACUGCACUUGAGAACUGUGUGUUCAUUUCUGUCGUUGGCAUUUGUGACCCAGCUCCUCACCAAGCCUUGCAAUGUGAAGACGUGAAGUGGCUGUUGGAAAUCCUCUCCUCCCAGUAGCAUUGCCAUAAAAGCUCGGGAGCAAACGUUCAUCUGAGCAUCAGACAGGAAAGACGGAAUUGCCUUCAGAUUGCUGAUAUCUGCAGGCAGGUGGGCAGACGCUGCCAGCAAAAAUCAGACAUGGUAUUGUGCAAAAGGAAUGCUAAAAAUGGGGUGUGGCAUCAAGUUACCACCCAUGCUGUUGGUAUUUAGCUACCUCCCAAUAGUUGAGAGGGGGCUGUCACGCCCUUGUGACCUCCUGAGCUGUCUCUGCCUGGGUAUCUACUGGGCAUUCCGUAUGGAAGGAUGUUUCCUCUCUAUGGAGUCCUCUUGCUGUUUGCUGACUUUGGGAUCUAACAAUGUCGUUGCAUUUUUCCUACCACAUUACCUUCUCAACCAGAAGAUUCAAGUCCAAAGAGAUCUUUUCCUUAGGCCAUCUCAGAUGUAGUUUUGAAACCCACAUAUUUGAAAUUGGUUUUGAACAUUUUAUUACACGUACAAAAUGUUUCUCAGUUGUUAGGGAGGUCAACAUUACUUCCCUGUGUAAGUCCCCUGAACGAGAAGAAUAAGAUUCCCAAACUUCUCCACAUGUAGAAGGCUUAGUUUUAGUCUGAGGAUACAGACAUCAGGUACUCACAUCAGGUGUGAGAUGCUCCCUUCUGCCACCCCACUCACAGCCAUACCUGCCUCCCGCUGACACCUGACUGACACCUGACUGUGGGUUCAUUCUUUCAUGGUCAAACGUGCCAAGCACAAAACUGAGUGCUGCAGAAACAAAGCUCUUCCAUGCCACGAGGAACCCCAAGACAGC